RNAcentral lists this ribosomal RNA (811 nucleotides) under uncultured bacterium. RNAcentral's name for it is "bacterial SSU rRNA". It matches the Rfam family "Bacterial small subunit ribosomal RNA", at positions 329 to 1141 of the family's 1533-position model. The record is from RNAcentral.
GUCCAAACUCCUACGGGAGGCAGCAGUGAGGAAUAUUGGUCAAUGGGCGAGAGCCUGAACCAGCCAAGUAGCGUGCAGGAUGACGGCCCUAUGGGUUGUAAACUGCUUUUAUGCGGAGAUAAAGUCGGCUACGCGUAGCCGUUUGAAAAAACCGCAUGAAUAAGGACCGGCUAAUUCCGUGCCAGCAGCCGCGGUAAUACGGAAGGUCCGGGCGUUAUCCGGAUUUAUUGGGUUUAAAGGGAGCGCAGGCCGGAGGUCAAGCGUGACGUGAAAUGUAGCCGCUCAACGGCUGAGUUGCGUCGCGAACUGGUUUCCUUGAGUGAGUACGACGUCAGCGGAAUUCGUGGUGUAGCGGUGAAAUGCUUAGAUAUCACGAAGAACCCCGAUUGCGAAGGCAGCUGACGAGUCCUUUACUGACGCUAAAGCUCGAAGGUGCGGGUAUCGAACAGGAUUAGAUACCCUGGUAGUCCGCACGGUAAACGAUGGAUGCCCGCUGUUUGCGAUAUAUUGUAAGCGGCCAAGCGAAAGCGUUAAGCAUCCCACCUGGGGAGUACGCCGGCAACGGUGAAACUCAAAGGAAUUGACGGGGGCCCGCACAAGCGGAGGAACAUGUGGUUUAAUUCGAUGAUACGCGAGGAACCUUACCCGGGCUUGAACUGCAGGAGAACGAUCCAGAGAUGGUGGGGCCCUUCGGGGCUCCUGUGGAGGUGCUGCAUGGUUGUCGUCAGCUCGUGCCGUGAGGUGUCGGCUUAAGUGCCAUAACGAGCGCAACCCCUUUCGCCAGUUGCCAUCAGGUGAUGCUGGGCACUCC